Non-coding RNA from Thunnus maccoyii (southern bluefin tuna), 375 nucleotides. NCBI's taxonomy places the organism in Eukaryota, Metazoa, Chordata, Actinopteri, Scombriformes, Scombridae. The record is from the annotation of a RefSeq genome assembly.
AUGACUUUGAUCUCCGUCCUCAUCUGGACUGUCCUCUGCUGCUGCUUCACAGAGUCCAGAGGCCAGAUCACAGUGACUCAGCCUGCAGCAGUGAGAUCUGCUCUGGGAGGCUCCACAACCAUCAACUGUAGGACCAGUCAGAAUGUUUAUAAUUCAAACCGUUUAGCCUGGUACCAACAGAGAGAUGGAGAAACUCCUAAACUUCUCAUUUACUAUGCUACCACUCGAGCAUCAGGGAUUCCAGAUCGUUUUUCAGGCAGUGGAUCAAACUCUGACUUCACUCUGACCAUCAGUGGAGUUCAGGCUGAAGAUUCAGGAGUUUAUUACUGUCAGAGUUUCCACUUUCCCAACAGUCAGUAUGUGUUCACACAGUGA